GUGAUCACAGAGUAAUUCCCGAGUAGGACCAACAAUGGACUGACACUCACUCUGUGUCCUUUUAGAGUCUACCAGGGGUGUGGUGGAGGACCUUGGCAAGAAAGCACUGUGGCCCAACACAUCCAGGGUGGCCCCAGCACCAUGUGGAAGUGAUUCCUUGGAGGAAGAUGUCGAUCCCAUCAAAGGAGACAGCACUGGAUGCACACCUCUUGCCAUGGUGACCCCAGCAACCAGCGAGAGUGAUGUGACUGAUGAUGGCGCUGUCUGGUCCUGGCUUUUUUAGAGUGUUACGGAG
This is a long non-coding RNA of Ailuropoda melanoleuca (giant panda), 295 nucleotides long. RefSeq lists it as uncharacterized. NCBI's taxonomy places the organism in Eukaryota, Metazoa, Chordata, Mammalia, Carnivora, Ursidae. The transcript has 5 exons. The record is from RefSeq and is a predicted model, not a curated record.